AUGUUUGACAGCUCCCAAAAUUGCCAAAACUUCACAAGAGCAUCUUUGCAACCCGGUGACACAGGGACAAAGCCCAACUUUCUUUAUGAUGAGCUACAUUUUCAAAGAGGUCCCGACGUCCUUAAAAUAAUACUUGCAGAACUGUUGGAAGCAACAAUAUUUCAGACUUCUUGGAAUGCCUAGAGAAGUACAUCUUUCUCCUUGAGAGAUUUGCUUCAAGCUAAUACUACUUUCUUUCAGUAAACAUAAUGAAGGACAGAGUCAAGAGGAACUUGGUAACUGAUAGAAAACAUCCCA
Molecule: long non-coding RNA, 297 nt
Organism: Pipra filicauda (Wire-tailed manakin)
Lineage: Eukaryota; Metazoa; Chordata; Aves; Passeriformes; Pipridae
Exons: 3
Source: RefSeq, a predicted model, not a curated record